This 405-nucleotide ribosomal RNA is filed under the name Chiasmocleis albopunctata (white-spotted humming frog). RNAcentral's name for it is "partial small subunit ribosomal RNA". It matches the Rfam family "Bacterial small subunit ribosomal RNA", at positions 769 to 1384 of the family's 1533-position model. Lineage: Eukaryota; Metazoa; Chordata; Amphibia; Anura; Microhylidae. The record is from RNAcentral.
AAACUGGGAUUAGAUACCCCACUAUGCCUAGCCGUAAAACAUACACUCACCCCAUAAAUCGCCAGGGAAUUACGAGCCCAAGCUUAAAACCCAAAGGACUUGACGGUGUCCCACCCACCUAGAGGAGCCUGUUCUGUAAUCGAUUAUCCCCGAUAAACCUCACCAUUUCUAGUAAACUCAGCCUGUAUACCUCCGUCGCAAGCUUACCAUGUGAACGUCUACUAGUGAGCUCAAAGAUUCCUCAUCCACACGUCAGGUCAAGGUGCAGCUAACGAACUGGGAAGAAAUGGGCUACAAUUUCUAUAAUAGAACAAACGAAAGGCUACAUGAAACACAGCCACUGAAGGCGGAUUUAGCAGUAAAAAGAAAAUAGAGAGUUCUUUUUAACAAGGCGCUGGGACGCGU